CCUACGGGAGGCAGCAGUGAGGAAUAUUGGUCAAUGGACGAGAGUCUGAACCAGCCAAGUAGCGUGAAGGAUGACUGCCCUCUGGGUUGUAAACUUCUUUUAUAAAGGAAUAAAACGAGGCACGUGUGCCUUUUUGCAUGUACUUUAUGAAUAAGGAUCGGCUCACUCCGUGACAGCAGCCGCGGUAAUACGGAGGAUCCGAGCGUUAUCCGGAUUUAUUGGGUUUAAAGGGAGCGUAGAUGGGUUGUUAAGUCAGUUGUGAAAGUUUGCGGCUCAACCGUAAAAUUGCAAUUGAUACUGGUAGUCUUGAGUACAGUUGAGGUAGGCGGAAUUCGUGGUGUAGCGGUGAAAUGCUUAGAUAUCACGAAGAACACCGAUUGCGAAGGCAGCUUACUAAACUGUGACUGACAUUGAUGCUCGAAAGUGUGGGUAUCAAACAGGAUUAGAUACCCGAGUAGUC
RNAcentral lists this ribosomal RNA (460 nucleotides) under uncultured bacterium. RNAcentral describes it as "partial 16S ribosomal RNA". It matches the Rfam family "Bacterial small subunit ribosomal RNA", at positions 338 to 795 of the family's 1533-position model. The record is from RNAcentral.